AGGGUUCGAUCAUGGCUCAGAACGUACGCUGGCGGCACGCCUAACACAUGCAAGUCGAACGAAGUAGCAAUACUUAGUGGCAGACGGGUGAGUAACAUGUAGGUAUCUGCCCUAUGGCCUGGAAUAACACGAGGAAACUUGUGCUAAUACCGGAUAAGUCUUUACGGAGAAAGCUUUAUGCACCAUUGGAUGAGCCUGCACUUGAUUAGUUUGUUGGUGGGGUAAUGGCCUACCAAGACUGUGAUCAAUAGCUGAUUUGAGAGGAUGAUCAGCCACAUUGGGACUGAGACACGGCCCAAACUCCUACGGGAGGCAGCAGUGGGGAAUCUUGCACAAUGGAGGAAACUCUGAUGCAGCGAUGCCGCGUGAGUGAAGAAGGCCUUUGGGUUGUAAAGCUCUUUCGUCGGGGAAGAAAAUGACUGUACCCGAAUAAGAAGGUCCGGCUAACUUCGUGCCAGCCGCCGCGGUAAUAC
Molecule: ribosomal RNA, 473 nt
Filed under: uncultured bacterium
Lineage: Bacteria
Description: bacterial SSU rRNA
Rfam family: Bacterial small subunit ribosomal RNA
Source: RNAcentral